AGGAUGAACGCUGGCGGCGUGCCUAAUACAUGCAAGUCGAGCGAACAGAUAAGGAGCUUGCUCCUUUGACGUUAGCGGCGGACGGGUGAGUAACACGUGGGUAACCUACCUAUAAGACUGGAAUAACUCCGGGAAACCGGGGCUAAUGCCGGAUAACAUUUAGAACCGCAUGGUUCUAAAGUGAAAGAUGGUUUUGCUAUCACUUAUAGAUGGACCCGCGCCGUAUUAGCUAGUUGGUAAGGUAACGGCUUACCAAGGCAACGAUACGUAGCCGACCUGAGAGGGUGAUCGGCCACACUGGAACUGAGACACGGUCCAGACUCCUACGGGAGGCAGCAGUAGGGAAUCUUCCGCAAUGGGCGAAAGCCUGACGGAGCAACGCCGCGUGAGUGAUGAAGGUCUUCGGAUCGUAAAACUCUGUUAUUAGGGAAGAACAAAUGUGUAAGUAACUAUGCACGUCUUGACGGUACCUAAUCAGAAAGCCACGGCUAACUACGU
Molecule: ribosomal RNA, 498 nt
Filed under: Staphylococcus cohnii
Lineage: Bacteria; Bacillati; Bacillota; Bacilli; Caryophanales; Staphylococcaceae
Description: bacterial SSU rRNA
Rfam family: Bacterial small subunit ribosomal RNA
Source: RNAcentral